UAGAGCCACAGCUGCAAAACUCAAGGCCAUUCUUUCCAAACAGGAAAGCAGGGAUUCUACAGGUUUCCCUCAGCUGUUCCAUUAUGAUGCAAUGGGCUUUUAUCCUCACAUCUAGUCUGGCACUAUCAUCCUUCUUGGGAGUGAUAUAUGAAAGUAUCCUCUGAUGAAGAAGAACAUGUCCAUCCUCUAACAUCCUUGACAAACUGCUGCAGAAUCAAUACCACAUACAGUGUUUAUGGCAUCAUUUAGUGUGACAGAUGUCAUAAGCCUUAUUUGCAUCAGUUACUGUAUUCAUCAGGACCUACUCUCAAGUUUGUGGUAUACAUUAUAAACCAAUCUUAGUUACACAUCGGCCAUAACAAGCAAAUAGCCUGAUGAUUUCAUCCAUAUUAUUUUUGUUGGCUCCCACCUGGAUUGUGUCAAGUUCAGCCUUUAACAAUGACUAUGGCCUUUUUCCAUGUUCUUAUUUGCUGCUCUGAUUUUCAAUGCCUUCUCCUACUUCAACAAUAUUGGAACACCAGCUGUUAAUUCUGCAGUGCUCUGAAGCUGCCUUUUUAAAUUCUCCAGUCCACUCUGCAUGGACAUCCUUUAAAAAAAAAAAAAAAAAGGUAUCAAUGAAUAUGUUCACAGCACAAAGGAGCACAACUACAGCUCCCAUCAUUCCUGCACAUGACCAGCACUAUGACCUCAGCUAGAUUAGGAUGCAAUUCCUAUGUUCUUCAUUGCUUACUGGCUGACAAACCGAAGGCUGAACAAAUAUUUUAAGCAUGUUAUCCAAGGGAUUAUAGAUACAUGAUUCUUACAAUGUCCAUCCUGAAAUACGUGAUCAUAGAUGUAAUUUAUUUUCUGGAGAUUUUGUGACUACACCCAAUGAAAGGGUGAAAUGAAGGAUUUAUUCGCCAAACCAUGUAAGCAAAAUGCAAAUCAGAAAGGAGAAAAUGCAAAAGCAACCCAAGAGCACAAAUGUAUUAGAUCAGUGCUGGUCUGCUACCUGAGAGAUGAAUGUUCAAUUUCCAGCUCGGCUACAGACUUACUGGGUGGCCCUCUGUGAUUCACUACCUCAGGGGUCUCAAUUUCCUAUCAUCAAAAUGAGAAGAAUGGUGACCUAGUUCACUGGGCCAAGAAUGAAUGAGGUACGUUAUGUAUAUUGUUUGCAGAGAAUUGUCCCUCUGCGGUGGAAUGGAGGAGGGACAUACAUUCACGCAUUCCUUAAUAGUGGAGCACAGCCUUGCAAGAAGAUUGGACCUGAAUACAGGCUGGGUGUCAGAAAUACUCAGGACCAGAAGUGUUUUGGAUUUUGGAUUUUUUUUUCCAGAUUUUGUAAUACCUGCAUUUGUAUAUACAUCCAUAAUAAAAUAUCCUGGAGUCCCAGUCUAAACACGGAAUUUGCUUAUUUAUGCCUUAUAGCUUGAUGGUAAUUUAAUGCCAUGUUUUUAGUCAUUUUUAUUUAUUUAUUAUUUAUUUAUUACAUUUAUAUGCC
Molecule: long non-coding RNA, 1480 nt
Organism: Anolis carolinensis (green anole)
Lineage: Eukaryota; Metazoa; Chordata; Lepidosauria; Squamata; Anolidae
Exons: 3
Source: RefSeq, a predicted model, not a curated record